CAAGCGGGGCAGCGGGUCCGUGAGGAGGAGAACGAGGGGGAGGAGGCACCGCGGCUCCGUCCUCUCCCCUUCAGACCGUCCCUCCAGCCCAGCCGGUUCCCUCCGGGUCCGCGCCCGCCGAGCGGAAUCACCCGCCUGUACCUGAGGGCAGAGCGCGGGCCCCAGAGUAGAUCUGGAAUUUGAUCUCUGCUCCCUGUAAUCUCCUGUAACUGAAAAUUCAGUUUUUCCGCCUGCUGACUGCUUUCUCUUUUGCCUUCCCAUUCUCCAGCCUCCUCCUCUCUGCGCUGUGUAGUUGGCUUGGUCACCUCACGUCAGGUUGUGUCCUUCUGUGACAGGAGUAAAGGCUUUUCUGAAAAGGUUUUUAGCAGUAACAGAGGAAUGCAGGGACAAGAGGUAUAGGCUGUGUUCGGUACCUCUCCAGAAGCGGCAAGUCCCAACAAGCAUGUCACCUCCUCUAUCUCCGAUUCUUUUAAAAAGAAGUUAGAUGAGG
Long non-coding RNA from Chiroxiphia lanceolata (lance-tailed manakin), 490 nucleotides. RefSeq lists it as uncharacterized. The record is from RefSeq and is a predicted model, not a curated record. NCBI's taxonomy places the organism in Eukaryota, Metazoa, Chordata, Aves, Passeriformes, Pipridae. The transcript has 2 exons.